AUUGAACGCUGGCGGCAGGCCUAACACAUGCAAGUCGAACGGCAGCACAGAAGAGCUUGCUCUUUGGGUGGCGAGUGGCGGACGGGUGAGUAAUGUCUGGGAAACUGCCCGAUGGAGGGGGAUAACUACUGGAAACGGUAGCUAAUACCGCAUAACGUCGCGAGACCAAAGUGGGGACCUCCGGGCCUAACACCAUCGGAUGGGCCCAGAUGGGAUUAGAUAGUAGGGGGGGGAAUGGCUCACCUAGGCGACGAUCCCUAGCUGGUCUGAGAGGAUGACCAGCCAAACUGGAACUGAGACACGGUCCAGACUCCUACGGGAGGCAGCAGUGGGGAAUAUUGCACAAUGGGCGCAAGCCUGAUGCAGCCAUGCCGCGUGUAUGAAGAAGGCCUUCGGGUCGUAAAGUACUUUCAGCGGGGAGGAAGGCGGUGAGGUUAAUAACCUCGCCGAUUGACGUUACCCGCAGAAGAAGCACCGGCUAACUCCGUGCCAGCAGCCGCGGUAA
This 505-nucleotide ribosomal RNA is filed under the name uncultured bacterium. RNAcentral describes it as "partial 16S ribosomal RNA". It matches the Rfam family "Bacterial small subunit ribosomal RNA", at positions 29 to 523 of the family's 1533-position model. The record is from RNAcentral.